This 86-nucleotide ribosomal RNA is filed under the name Boletaceae sp. JLF2547. RNAcentral's name for it is "partial 28S ribosomal RNA". The record is from RNAcentral. Lineage: Eukaryota; Fungi; Basidiomycota; Agaricomycetes; Boletales; Boletaceae.
GUGGUGCUACUUGGCUACUAGUGAAUCUAAUCUGGAUCAACGAACGUUAGGAAAUCCCUUGACCUUAUGAAAAGUGACCUCAAAUC